GUGCCAGCAGCCGCGGUAAUACAGAGGGUGCGAGCGUUGUCCGGAAUCACUGGGCGUAAAGGGCGCGUAGGCGGCCUGGUAAGUAGGGGGUGAAAUCUUGCGGCUCAACUGCAAGGCUGCCUCCUAAACUGCCGGGCUGGAGCACGGUAGAGGCAGAUGGAAUUCCCGGUGUAGCGGUGGAAUGCGUAGAGAUCGGGAAGAACAUCGGUGGCGAAGGCGGUCUGCUGGGCCGUUGCUGACGCUGAGGCGCGACAGCGUGGGGAGCAAACAGGAUUAGAUACCCGUGUAGUCC
This 292-nucleotide ribosomal RNA is filed under the name uncultured bacterium. Its description in RNAcentral is "partial 16S ribosomal RNA". It matches the Rfam family "Bacterial small subunit ribosomal RNA", at positions 505 to 796 of the family's 1533-position model. The record is from RNAcentral.